RNAcentral lists this ribosomal RNA (476 nucleotides) under uncultured bacterium. RNAcentral's name for it is "bacterial SSU rRNA". It matches the Rfam family "Bacterial small subunit ribosomal RNA", at positions 8 to 485 of the family's 1533-position model. The record is from RNAcentral.
AGAGUUUGAUCAUGGCUCAGGAUGAACGCUGGCGGCGUGCCUAACACAUGCAAGUCGAGCGAGACGGUUAUGAUUGAUUCUUCGGAUGAGAGAUUAACUAGAAAGCGGCGGACGGGUGAGUAACGCGUGAGUAACCUGCCCCAUACACAGGGAUAGCCAUUGGAAACGAUGAUUAAUACCUGAUAACACAUAGACAUCACAUGUUGUUUAUGUCAAAGAUUUAUCGGUAUGGGAUGGACUCGCGUCUGAUUAGCUAGUUGGUAAGGUAACGGCUUACCAAGGCGACGAUCAGUAGCCGACCUGAGAGGGUGAUCGGCCACACUGGAACUGAGNCACGGUCCAGACUCCUACGGGAGGCAGCAGUGGGGAAUAUUGCACAAUGGGCGCAANCCUGAUGCAGCAACGCCGCGUGAACGAAGAAGGCCUUCGGGUNGUAAAGUUCUUUUCUUAGGGAAGAAAAAUGACGUACCUAAGAA